GACGAACGCUGGCGGCGUGCCUAAUACAUGCAAGUAGAACGCUGAAGGAGGAGCUUGCUCUUCUGGAUGAGUUGCGAACGGGUGAGUAACGCGUAGGUAACCUGCCUGGUAGCGGGGGAUAACUAUUGGAAACGAUAGCUAAUACCGCAUAACAACAGUUGUUGCAUGACAGCUGUUUAAAAGAUGCAAUUGCAUCACUACCAGAUGGACCUGCGUUGUAUUAGCUAGUUGGUGAGGUAACGGCUCACCAAGGCAACGAUACAUAGCCGACCUGAGAGGGUGAUCGGCCACACUGGGACUGAGACACGGCCCAGACUCCUACGGGAGGCAGCAGUAGGGAAUCUUCGGCAAUGGACGGUAGUCUGACCGAGCAACGCCGCGUGAGUGAAGAAGGUUUUCGGAUCGUAAAGCUCUGUUGUAAGAGAAGAACGAGUGUGAGAGUGGAAAGUUCACACUGUGACGGUAUCUUACCAGAAAGGGACGGCUAACUACGUGCCAGCAGCCGCGGUAAUACGUAGGUCCCGAGCGUUGUCCGGAUUUAUUGGGCGUAAAGCGAGCGCAGGCGGUUAGAUAAGUCUGAAGUUAAAGGCUGUGGCUUAACCAUAGUACGCUUUGGAAACUGUUUAACUUGAGUGCAAGAGGGGAGAGUGGAAUUCCAUGUGUAGCGGUGAAAUGCGUAGAUAUAUGGAGGAACACCGGUGGCGAAAGCGGCUCUCUGGCUUGUAACUGACGCUGAGGCUCGAAAGCGUGGGGAGCAAACAGG
This 763-nucleotide ribosomal RNA is filed under the name uncultured Streptococcus sp. RNAcentral describes it as "bacterial SSU rRNA". It matches the Rfam family "Bacterial small subunit ribosomal RNA", at positions 28 to 776 of the family's 1533-position model. Lineage: Bacteria; Bacillati; Bacillota; Bacilli; Lactobacillales; Streptococcaceae. The record is from RNAcentral.